GAGAGAGAGAGAGAGAGAUACAAAGCUUGGUUUGACGCCUGUUGAGUAGUUUGCCUUUCUAAUUAUCAAAUAAUUUUGCUGAUUGUUUUUAUUUCUCGUUAUGGGGAGAAAAGUCUGGAGGGGUUUAGAAAUUGCUCCUGAUUAACCAGUUGGCUUGAUGAAAUUUGUCAUGGUGGAAGUAAGUGCAAGUGCUUGCUUACCAUUUGUAAGCUCAUCACAGUGUUAGGUUUAUGAUGUUGGUGAGAUGUCGAUCAUCUAGACUCAUAUCAUUUAUAUACAGAGUUUAGAUCGGUUCAUAUUGAAAUUCCCAUUAUUUUCUGCAAUAUGCAGACCUUGGAUUUGGUGCUUUACGCUUACAUAUUACUAGUUCUUGUAACCAUUUUAGACAGUAUCCUGUUUGGUAACACAGAUUUACGGUUAAAAAAAUCCGAUCUACACUGUAUUCCUGAUUUAAUGUUUGUAAUCUAGUUUUAGUGAUAAUAUUCUCUAAACCUGUCAAUUUAAUUUGUGAAACAGUUCUUUAAGUAUAAAAGUACUGGCAUAGCUUUAUUGGUCACUAUAAUCAGCUCUAAGCAUUCAGAGGGCACAGUUAUAGUUUUAGGUUAUGUCAGUUUGUCCAAAUCCUAGACUUUUGUUUUUUUACUUUCAGCUUUGUCAUCAGUCACUGUUCUAAGUCUUCCUAUUUAUUUAAUCAGCUUAAAUUUGAAGAUGAGAAUUUUGUACAAUUAAAGAGAAGUAUAAAAUUGAUGUUCAAAGAAAGUGCAACUAUGAAGUAUGAAGCUUCAAAAUAAAUAAAUAAAUAGUAAGCUGUGAAAUUUAUCUUCCUAAGCGGCAAGCCAUACAAUUGGGCAAGCACUCUGAGAUAUUGAUGCAUUGGCUGGCCAUCAUUCAUUACAGCACAUUGAUCAAGAAGAUCGGCUUACCUAUUAUUUGAACUGUCAUUACAGUUUGUAGAAGUGAGGUCUAUUCAUGAGCAGAAGUUUGAUGGCAUUUUACUUUUUAAUCUUUUCUUGAUGAAUGUGGUAGUGCCUGUAGUUCAAUGAGCAAUUCACAUGCAAUAAAACCUAGUUUUCUUUUAUUUUAUUCCAAAUAACAUUUGACUACUUAAAAUGAGGAUUGGUUUUCUCUCAUCUUGAUGAGAUUCUUAUCUCAGGAGAAGUCAUCUGUACCAUCACGUGAUGAAGAUUACUUGCAACGGCGAGAUGAACAGCGCUCUGGAUUAAAAGGAGGCCCUUUCUCUCAGAGGGACUCUAGACUUCGUAAUGCUAGUCCUGACCCAUAUUAUGUUGACAAAUCCAAGAUAAAUGAUAAGAGUGCUGAACCUAGUGAGGUGUUAUGGAUAGGUUUUCCAGCCUUGUUGAAGGUAGAUGAAAUGAUCUUAAGAAAGGCUUUUUCACCAUUUGGUGAGAUUGAAAAGAUUACCGUAUUUCCAGGCCGUAGUUAUGCUUUUGUUCGGUUUAGGAGCUUAACGUCAGCAUGCAGAGCAAAAGAAACCCUUCAGGGAAAAUUAUUUGGAAAUCCUCGUGUACAUAUUUGUUUUGCUAAGAGUGAAGCUGGCUCAUCUAGUAGUGGGAGGACACCUCUCUCUCCAUAUUAUAAGUCAAAUGGUCACUCAGGAGCUUCUGAGAACUUUCGGCAGGAUAGGAAUUUUGGAAGCUUAAUGUCAGAUACCAGCAUUAGAUCUCCUCGUUAUAUGUCAAAUUUAGAUUCAGACUCUGAUGUCCAUGGCUUCAACAGGAAGGGUAUGUUGUAUCCUGGUGGAAGCAAUACGUUUGAUAAUUGGAGGUUUGGGGAAGAACUAGGACCACCACCAGAUGUGUAUGAACGCCGUGGGAGUCCUACAAGAGAAAGGGGCCCUAACUUUGACGAAUUUGCCCAGAAAUUUCCUCAGAAGUCUUCAUAUUAUGAAGAACCUUGGGACUUGCCUGAAGAUUCCUAUAUGUUCCGUGGAGCCAAAAAAUUGAAGACAGGCUCCUUUCCUCCUGACAAAGAGCUUCCAGAAUAUCCUUUCUCUGACCUAGAAGAGGAGAAACAAGCUUUUCCAAGAGCAUUCUCUGAUUUUCCCCAACCUGAGUCAUUUGAAAAGAACUAUGGAUAUAAGCCAAACUCUGACCGCCUAAGUUCUUUAUCUCUUCCUCUUGAAGAAAGGAGUGAUCACUGGAAAGCUUCUUAUGACAAUUUCCGGAAUGGCUCUGGUUCUGUGCCUUCAGACCCUGUUGAGAGGAAAAGAUUCACUCCUGAGCCGGAACAAUCCUCUUUGAACCUAUGGAAAUGGGAAGGAACUAUAGCAAAGGGUGGAACUCCUGUCUGUCAUGCCCGUGGCUUUCCUGUAGGAAAGUCCCUGGACAUCAUGUUGUAAGUAGUGAAUGCUUCUUCUUUUGGCUUUUGAUUAGUCACCGUUUGCUUUAACACCAACUAAGUGAUCCCUUCCAUAAGCUAACUUUGUUUAUCCGCAGCAAUUAGGAUACCAAUUUGACAGGUGUACCACUUCUUUACAUGAAUGCGUUGUUUUCUCAUUGUUUUAUUCUGUUCUUGUGAGUGGUUUAUUCCCAAAAAUAAAAAAAUGCAUCAAGAUGACUGGGUAUCCAGGAAGCAAAAUGCUUCCAUUUUGUUCUCCGUGACCAUAGCAUAUGAGGACACUUAAUAUUAUCAGUUGCAUUGAGGCAUAUCAUGCAUUUUGUCCAGAAAUUUUGGCCACCCUUGCUCAGUGAUGAUCGUCUUUUGAUGCCAGGCCAUGAUUGAAUAAUGACAUACCAUUAAUUUUUAUUACUUGAACAAUUUUGGUGAAAGUUUUUUAAUUGCCUCAACUUUCAAUUGAGAAAGUAUAUGUUUUAUAUUGGACUUCUCAUUUGAUUCUGUCGUGCUACCUUGCUAGCACAUGCUAAUUUUGAGGCUAAAUUUUUCCUGAUAUCUAAUUUUGUUCAUGGAUUUAAUCUGACCAUGAACUUCUCUUGAUGUUACAAAUAAAUGUUACAAAGAACAAAUAUUUGCCAAAUAUGAUAUUUAAAUGUGUGAAUUAGAGAGUUUAGUUUAGAAAAUCAUAUGCAACAAUGAUGAAUGGGGUUGAGCUUCGGUGCAAACAGUAAGGUUCAGGUCAUGGAAACAUCUUUUGACCCUUUUAUAGGGGUAAGCCUCAUGCACUGUGGACACCCAGCUUUGUGAUUACUGAUAAUUUGAUGAACCACCUUGUAUUAUUCUGCCUUUUCUUUUCUAUCUUCUUCUCUUUUUUCCCCUAAUUGGACUUGCAUUCUGAAAUUAUUGAAUAACAAUGACAUUUAUGCUUCAGACCUGAAUUUCUGGAUUGCACUGCAAGGACUGGUCUAGACAUGCUUGCGAAGCACUACUAUCAAGCAGCUUCUGCUUGGGUUGUUUUCUUUGCCCCUGCUAGUGAUGCUGACAUUGGGUACUACAAUGAAUUCAUGCAUUAUCUUGAGGAGAAGCAGCGAGCUGCAGUUGCUAAAUUGGAUGAUAAAACCACCUUGUUUCUUGUACCCCCAUCUGAUUUCGCAGAGAAAGUACUGAGAGUACCUGGGAAACUAUGUAUUUCUGGCGUUGUUUUGAGAUUAGAGCUCCCUGGUUCAAAUUUUGGGUCUCUUAUCCAUCCAAAUGAGAAAAGGGAAACAUUG
This 3626-nucleotide unclassified non-coding RNA is filed under the name Hevea brasiliensis (rubber tree). Lineage: Eukaryota; Viridiplantae; Streptophyta; Magnoliopsida; Malpighiales; Euphorbiaceae. The record is from RNAcentral.